This 76-nucleotide transfer RNA is filed under the name Bacillota bacterium. RNAcentral describes it as "tRNA-Val". It matches the Rfam family "tRNA". From Rfam's summary of the family: Transfer RNA (tRNA) molecules are approximately 80 nucleotides in length. Their secondary structure includes four short double-helical elements and three loops (D, anti-codon, and T loops). Lineage: Bacteria; Bacillati; Bacillota. The record is from RNAcentral. RNAcentral also lists the same sequence under 3 other names.
GGGCGAUUAACUCAGCUGGUAGAGUGCCAUCUCGACAAGGUGGAAGUCGUUGGUUCGAGUCCAAUAUUGCCCACCA